GGAAGUUCUUUUUCUGGUUUUGUUUCCAGUACAUUCUGUUUUCACAUUGGAACGAGUCUCCCUACAGGAGCUUCUCUCGUAGCUUCAUAGUUGAAAAACAUGAAGGGGAACACAUUGGCAGAUACAAAGUGCCAAAGGUCUGUUUCAGCUAUUGAACAAGGGACUUCAACAAAGGUUUCCACAAGUGCAGGACAACGUAGAUGCCAACAACAUAUGCCACAACACAGACAAAUGUGUACUCCAGCAGCAAGUAGAUGUGAGACACAAGGGACUUUGGAAGUAAGCUCAGCACUUCUUUGUGUAAAUAACUGCUCAUAGCUGUAGUUACAUGUUACAUGACAGAAGAUAUGCAGUAAUACAAUUUUGGAAAAGAAACAAUGUAAACCACAUAAAAAAUAGUUGUCUGUAUUUUUAUAUACUUUAAAUUAUUUAUUUUCUAUAACUGCAUAAGUACCUUUCCCUUGACAUCUGCUGUUGUAAUUUUACUUUGAAGCAUUAGGCAUGGCAAUGAUUCUGCAUCAUAAGUCAAAACUAUACACUUACCUAAUAAUGUUAACAAUACCCAUUAAUGUAGCAUUUCUACAAUUACCUCAGGGCAGUCUAGCUUGACGAUCUGUCUGUUACAGGGAAGUAAGGAGGUUUACAUUGUGGAGGACCCCAGCAUCCCUGGUUGGUUUUCUCAGUAACACAGGCAAGUCCUUUGUUUUACCUGUAAUGGCCCCAUUGCCACCCUUCAGGCAUUGGACUAGUUCUUGAACUAUUUUGUUUAUGACAUGUUAUGCAGAUACAACUAUGUUGGUGUAUUUGAUUGAAAUUGAAUUGAAUAUAUUGUACCCAUAUGUCUAUUAUGAUCAUGUACAUAGUUAGACAUUAGUUCCUACAUUUGUCAGUAACAAGGAUAUAUUUACCAUUUUGAGGACCAAAUUCGUGCUUUAGGCAGUGAGGAUCUGUGAAACAUAUGUGUAAGAAUUGCUGAGCGGAAUCCAGACAUUCUUCUUGAAGUUCUUGACAGUCAAUUCCUACAUGGUCCCGAAGUUUCACAACAUCCACAUAGUCCGGAUGCUCCUGAGUGGUGUGUAUGCAACCGCUGUAAACGCAUGCCAACUGUCAUGAAGAGUGUGUGCUGCAGAAUGACUCCAGAGAACUGCAUUUCCUCAUCACAAGAAAUGCAUCAAUGUGUCCUCCAGCGUUGUGUCCUACAGACAGCUGAAGCAUACCAGCGAUCAUUAUUUGGACUACAGAUGGAAGCAGAUGAAAAUAAACGGUACAGGUACACAGAUUACCGUCAAUACAUUGUGUGGCGUCAUGGACGUUUGGGGACUGGAAACAGGAGAGUCAUUCCCAGCUGUUGUGUUUGGAAAACUCAUGACAGAUAUCCAGGUGCCAAUGGUAUUUACACAGGUUUCCAGCCCAUCAGAUUUUAGAUAUACAUACUGUCACAAUACCAUACUCAUUCAGUUGUUCUGUUGUUCACAUUCUAUGUGUUAAUAGUUUCCAUGUGUGUAUGACUAUGAAUGUAAUGUCUUCUGUUGCACAAUU
This is a long non-coding RNA of Protopterus annectens (West African lungfish), 1539 nucleotides long. RefSeq lists it as uncharacterized. The transcript has 3 exons. Lineage: Eukaryota; Metazoa; Chordata; Ceratodontiformes; Protopteridae. The record is from RefSeq and is a predicted model, not a curated record.